GACGAACGCUGGCGGCGUGCCUAAUACAUGCAAGUAGAACGCACAGUUUAUACCGUAGCUUGCUACACCAUAGACUGUGAGUUGCGAACGGGUGAGUAACGCGUAGGUAACCUGCCUGGUAGCGGGGGAUAACUAUUGGAAACGAUAGCUAAUACCGCAUAAUAUUGAUUAUUGCAUGAUAAUUGAUUGAAAGAUGCUAUUGCAUCACUACCAGAUGGACCUGCGUUGUACUAGCUAGUAGGUGAGGUAACGGCUCACCUAGGCGAUGAUACAUAGCCGACCUGAGAGGGUGAUCGGCCACACUGGGACUGAGACACGGCCCAGACUCCUACGGGAGGCAGCAGUAGGGAAUCUUCGGCAAUGGACGAAAGUCUGACCGAGCAACGCCGCGUGAGUGAAGAAGGUUUUCGGAUCGUAAAGCUCUGUUGUAAGAGAAGAACGGGUGUGAGAGUGGAAAGUUCACACUGUGACGGUAUCUUACCAGAAAGGGACGGCUAACUACGUG
This 505-nucleotide ribosomal RNA is filed under the name uncultured bacterium. RNAcentral describes it as "partial 16S ribosomal RNA". It matches the Rfam family "Bacterial small subunit ribosomal RNA", at positions 28 to 507 of the family's 1533-position model. The record is from RNAcentral.